This 2223-nucleotide long non-coding RNA is filed under the name Mus musculus (house mouse). RNAcentral's name for it is "long non-coding RNA chr6:83870064-83872287". Lineage: Eukaryota; Metazoa; Chordata; Mammalia; Rodentia; Muridae. The record is from RNAcentral.
ACACACACACACACAUAUAUAUAUAUACAUACACACACGUGUGUGUGUAUGGUGUUAUAAUAAUAAUUGUUCAAUCUCUAACACCCACAUGGACAGCCCAAAACUGUCUGUAACUCCAGUUCCAAUGCAUCUGAUAUCCUCACACCAAUGUACAUAGUGUUUAUAUAUAUAUAUAAGUUGACUAUUUUUUAAAUAUGCACUAUGUAUGAUUUGUAGAAUGGUAGAAUAUGCAGUAUCUCAUCCAAAAUAACAUUAAAUGUCAGGAUAAUCAUUUGAGUGCAACAUUUGCACUUUUGUUUACUAAAUAGUAAUUUUGAGCUCAUAUUUUUGGUAAUGUAUCAUUAAAGAAAUAUUGCAAAAAUACAAAACAAAAAAACCCAAAAAGUGCCUAGUUGUUCUAGUUUCCUUACUCUUCUUAUGAUAAAUACUCUGACCAAAAAUAACUCGGGAGGAGAGGGUUUGUUUGGCUUACUCUUCCAGGUCGUAGUCUCUCACUGAAGGAAGUCAGAGCAGGAGCUCGAGGCAAGAACCAUGAGGAACCAUGAGUGCUGUCAAAGCCUCAUGCAUAGUUAGCCUUUACCCAGAAUGCAGACCGCCUGCCUGGGGAUGAUACCACCCUCAGUUAGCUGGGUUCUCUCACGUCAAUCAGGAUAAUCCUCCAGAGACAUGUCCACUGACCAGUCUGAUCUAGACAGUUUCUCAGUUGAGGCUCUCUUGUCAGAAGACUGUAAAGCUGUGUCAAGGUGAGAAAGAAGGCUAACUAGGGCACUAAUGCAUUCGCCUCUCCAUUUUGAAGGAUCAUCAUCACUAUUAUUACAGUUGCUUCAGCUUGCUUUCACCCACAGCUACAUGCUCAGCUUUCAAUUUUGGAAUGCUAAUAGUAUGGGAUAUGCCAUUUUCGGUGUGAGUGGGUGGAGAGCCCCCACAGGUUGUAUUCAGGUUUUAGAUUUUCUCCACUGAAGUGUUAGUACCACCGGAGGGUCAGGGCUUGGUGAAAUGGGAAGCUUAUUAGCUUGCCUGUUACUAUGCAGGUAAAUAUGGUUAGCUUUAAAGCCAAAUGAGACUGCUUCUCUUAGUUACCUUGCCAUUGUUCUCUGAGUUCCUCCUCUAAUGGUUUAAUGACAUCAAAUAGACCAGACAAUGCAGGGCUCUGUCAGUCUCAUUUUUUAAAAGUCUGCUUCUUCAUGUCUCUCAUCUUUACAUUCUCAUCUGCUCUUUCAAGACAAAUAUCUUUAAAGAGGCAGGAAAAUAGAUUUGCACACUAGAGCAUCAGGAAGGAAACCAUCAGAGCCCCGGGACAUAAAACCUGGAAUCAUAAUGGAAUUGUGAAUGAAAGGACUAGAAAAUAAAGUUGCCAGGGUUUGAGGCACAGCAUAAUUCUCCGUCUUUCUUUUUUAUGAUUUAGUGGGUUUUGUUUUAUGUGUAUGAGUGUUUUAUCUGCAUUUAUAUAAAUGCACCUUAUGUGUGCAGUGUCCGUACUAGCCAGAAAGGGUGUCAGAUCUCCUGGAACUGGAGUUACAGAACACUGUGAGCUGCCAAUUGAUGCGGGUAGCGCUGUUCUUCUUCUGUAGGGACAGCGAAUGUUCUUUAUUGUAUUUUAUGUACGUUUGUGUGAGGAUGUUGGAUCUCGUGGAACAAGAGUUACAGAGAGUUGUGAGCUGCCAUGUGGGUGCUGAGAAUUGAACCCUGGGUACUCUAGAAGAGCAGUCAGUGCUCUUAACCGCUGAGCCAUCUCUCCAACCCCAUAAAUAUUUUUAACUACUCUCCAGCCCGAGUUCUGGGCUGUUUCUGUCAUCUUUCAUGGUCUAAUUCCUUUGCUGCUUGCUCUGGCUCAAAGAUUUAUUAAUUAUUAUACAUAAGUACACUCUAGCUGACUUCUGAAACACCAGAAGAGGGCAUCAGAUCUCAUUACCAGUGGUUGUGAGCCACCAUGUGGUUUCUGGGAUUUGAACUCAGGACCUUUGGAAGAGCAGUCUGCACUCUUACCCGCUGAACCAUCUCACCAACCCAACAUUCCAUUUUCUUAGAGGAGAAGCUUCCAGUUUGCUUCCAGUUCUCUGAGUUCAGGAUAAAAUAUUGGGAGUAAGUCCACUGAAGGGAAUAUGGUAGGAGUCCCUAUGACUAUCUUGGCGUUCAGACUCAUAAGAGGACUUGUGGGACUCUAAUACACUCCUGUUCUUAGCUAGGAUGUUUAACAGUAAAAGGAUGAGGAGAAAAUGUGGC